Tachysurus fulvidraco (yellow catfish) is the source of this 662-nucleotide long non-coding RNA. RefSeq lists it as uncharacterized. The record is from RefSeq and is a predicted model, not a curated record. The transcript has 2 exons. Lineage: Eukaryota; Metazoa; Chordata; Actinopteri; Siluriformes; Bagridae.
CGACACCCUAUUGGUUUGUACGCGAUCCAUCGCACCUGCGCAGGACACAAAUCACGUGACACUUCAAUUACCGCAACGCUGAACAUAGCAGACGGAGCCAAGUACGAAGAUGUCCGUAGCAGAGGCGCAAACCUAAUGUCUCAGCCACCAGCACCAGGGGAGUUGGUAGCCAGGAAGACCAACCAACCCCAAGCCUUAUACAUCCCUGGCCGUACCUGGAAGAAUGUUUUAAAUGGUUGGAUGGGAAAAUGUCAUUGCGCAUGCGCUGUAAGCUACGCGCGCCCAAAUACCACGACCUAAUGGCUUUCAAAAACUCGCCUAAUUUAAAAAAAAGCAUAUUGAGAAGUCCAGCCUUCUAGAAACGACCCAGCAGUUGGAUGUGUACCUGAGGUGCCCAGGAGACACAGUAGAUGUACUGAAGUCCUUCCCAGCCGUGUGCCAGCGAUCACUUAAGCUUAACACGGCACUCCCGGCCUCAGCAGCCUGUGAAAGACUGUUUAGUGUUGCAGGGCUGAUCUUCAGGCCAAAAAGAAGCUCAAAGAACUUUGAGAACCAGCUGCUUUUGUGGAUGAACAAAGCCUAUUAGUAACUCUGUCACAUGUUGAUUACCCUGUUGUUGUUUGAGUCCAAUGUGUUUGUUUUAAUAAAGGUUACUGAUGACA